CGGUCGUAAAGAAAGGCUGUUGCAGAACUUUCUGACUGUAGGGCAAGCGGAUGAGCGCGCCAGUCCUUUUGUCAUACUUCUUUAGAAUCUUCACAAGCCCUAUAAAAAGGCAACUGAAGCAUAUUCUACGCACAAGGAAUUGAUUCAGCGGCAUGUGGCCACAAUUUCAAGAUCCCAAAUGGAGAGCUUGACCACAAAAGGGUGUAAAUGCAUUCAACCAUGCCAAGUGCACCAAUCAAUGCAUAAA
Non-coding RNA from Cucurbita pepo subsp. pepo (vegetable marrow), 247 nucleotides. NCBI's taxonomy places the organism in Eukaryota, Viridiplantae, Streptophyta, Magnoliopsida, Cucurbitales, Cucurbitaceae. The record is from RefSeq and is a predicted model, not a curated record.